Molecule: ribosomal RNA, 253 nt
Filed under: uncultured bacterium
Lineage: Bacteria
Description: partial 16S ribosomal RNA
Rfam family: Bacterial small subunit ribosomal RNA
Source: RNAcentral
UACGUAGGGCGCAAGCGUUGUCCGGAAUUAUUGGGCGUAAAGAGCUCGUAGGUGGUUUGUCGCGUCUGCCGUGAAAGCCCGGGGCUUAACUCCGGGUCUGCGGUGGAUACGGGCAGACUAGAGGCAGGUAGGGGAGAACGGAAUUCCCGGUGUAGCGGUGAAAUGCGCAGAUAUCAGGAGGAACACCGAUGGCGAAGGCAGGUCUCUGGGCCACUACUGACGCUGAGAAGCGAAAGCGUGGGGAGCAAACAGG